This is a long non-coding RNA of Eurytemora carolleeae, 335 nucleotides long. RefSeq lists it as uncharacterized. The record is from RefSeq and is a predicted model, not a curated record. Lineage: Eukaryota; Metazoa; Arthropoda; Copepoda; Calanoida; Temoridae. The transcript is spliced from 4 exons.
AAUAAUAAUGAUAAAAACAAUAAAUAAUUGAUAACACAGGUUUGGUACUAUUCCAUGUAUUGCUUCAAAACAUUCUAUAGCAAAGGGUGAGGAGAUAUUUGUUCGAUAUGGAUAUGAGUUAAACUAUUGUCCGGACUGGUAUUUAGACGCAUGGGAGAAAGGAAAUUUCCCUGUACCAGACUCUAUGAAGAAUGAGUACAGUUGUAUUCCUGCCUGGGCCGAGUCAACUAUAGAAGAUAAGGAGUAAAGUGAAUCAAUGUGUGAAUACUUUUCAAGAAGAAUGUAAAAUGUUGUUGAAGAAUACAAAGUUAGUAAAUAAAUUAUUAAUGUAUGUA